RNAcentral lists this ribosomal RNA (253 nucleotides) under uncultured bacterium. RNAcentral's name for it is "partial 16S ribosomal RNA". It matches the Rfam family "Bacterial small subunit ribosomal RNA", at positions 524 to 776 of the family's 1533-position model. The record is from RNAcentral.
UACGACGGGGGCUAGCGUUGUUCGGAUUUACUGGGCGUAAAGGGCGCGUAGGCGGAUUUUUAAGUCGGGGGUGAAAUCCCGGAGCUCAACUCCGGAACUGCCUUCGAUACUGAAAGUCUGGAGCACGGUAGAGGUGAGUGGAAUUCCGAGUGUAGAGGUGAAAUUCGUAGAUAUUCGGAGGAACACCAGUGGCGAAGGCGGCUCACUGGACCGUUGCUGACGCUGAGGCUCGCAAGCGUGGGGAGCAAACAGG